Long non-coding RNA from Oncorhynchus keta (chum salmon), 1472 nucleotides. RefSeq lists it as uncharacterized. The record is from RefSeq and is a predicted model, not a curated record. NCBI's taxonomy places the organism in Eukaryota, Metazoa, Chordata, Actinopteri, Salmoniformes, Salmonidae. The transcript is spliced from 4 exons.
GAGAGAUAUAUUGAUUGGGUCAGACCGUGUGGCUGUAUUUAUGGGUAGAGAGAGAGAUAUAUUGAUUGGGCCAGACCGUGUGGCUGUAUUUAUGGGGAGAGAGAUAUAUUGAUUGGGUCAGACCGUGUGGCUGUAUUUAUGGGUAGAGAGAGAGAUAUAUUGAUUGGGUCAGACCGUGUGGCUGUAUUUAUGGGUAGAGAGAGAGAUAUAUUGAUUGGGCCAGACCGUGUGGCUGUAUUUAUGGGUAGAGAGAGAGAUAUAUUGAUUGGGUCAGACCGUGUGGCUGUAUUUAUGGAGAGAGAGAUAUAUUGAUUGGGCCAGACCGUGUGGCUGUAUUUAUGGGUAGAGAGAGAGAUAUAUUGAUUGGGUCAGACCGUGUGGCUGUAUUUAUGGGUAGAGAGAGAGAUAUAUUGAUUGGGCCAGACCGUGUGGCUGUAUUUAUGGGUAGAGAGAGAGAUAUAUUGAUUGGGCCAGACCGUGUGGCUGUAUUUAUGGGUAGAGAGAGAGAUAUAUUGAUUGGGUCAGACCGUGUGGCUGUAUUUAUGGGUAGAGAGAGAGAUAUAUUGAUUGGACCAGAUCUUGUGUAUGUGGAUAGAUGUACUAGAUCCUAGUGUGUGUAGGGUGGUUACAGUAUAUAGAUAAGCCUAAUAUGCCUUGUGGAUGUAUGGGUAGAUACUAGGUCUUUUAGGCCUUGUGGAUGUAUGGGUAGAUACUAGGUCUUUUAGGCCUUGUGGAUGUAUGGGUAGAUACUAGGUAUUUUAGGCCUUGUGGCUGUAUGGGUAGAUACUAGGUAUUUUAGGCCUUGUGGAUGUAUGGGUAGAUACUAGGUAUUUUAGGCCUUGUGGAUGUAUGGGUAGAUACUAGGUAUUUUAGGCCUUGGAUGUAUCUAUAUAUACUAGGUAUUUUAGGCCUUGUGGAUGUAUGAGUAGAUACUAGGUAUUUUAGGCCUUGUGGAUGUAUGAGUAGAUACUAGGUCUUUUAGGCCUUGGAUGUAUGAGUAGAUACUAGGUCUUUUAGGCCUUGGAUGUAUGAGUAGACACUAGAUCUUGGUUGGGAUAGACGCCAACUUCACUGGAAGAGGCAGUCACACCCAACGGACUAUCUAAUUGGGACAAAUGACCGAUUAGUCAGGUUGAAUUGCUAUGUGUCUGUGUGAAUGUGUGUGUUUGUUUAUUGAUUGCAGUUGAAAAAAGUUUGACAAGUUUGCAGAAAACAGUGGGAAAUGUGCUGGUAGCAUAAACCUCUCAUCAUCAUGGUAAUAUCAGACUACAAUCCAUGUCAGCAGCUCCAGUGACUAUGUAUCAGCUAUUUCCCAACACAUACAGUAGGGUGCUGAAAACCAACCAGUUUUAGACGGAACGUGUUACACAUCAAUCAAAUGUGACAAACAAACAGUGUUAUUUUGUAAUAUGUAUAUACAGCGCUUUCGGAAAGUAUUCAGAUUUUGUUACGUUACAGCCUUAUUCUAAAAU